GCCGCUAUAGCUCAGCUGGUAGAGCAGUUGCCUUGUAAGCAUCAGGUCCCGCGUUCGAUUCGUGGUGGCGGCACCA
Molecule: transfer RNA, 76 nt
Filed under: bacterium
Lineage: Bacteria
Description: tRNA-Thr
Rfam family: tRNA
About the family: Transfer RNA (tRNA) molecules are approximately 80 nucleotides in length. Their secondary structure includes four short double-helical elements and three loops (D, anti-codon, and T loops).
Source: RNAcentral